Molecule: non-coding RNA, 190 nt
Filed under: Myxococcota bacterium
Lineage: Bacteria; Pseudomonadati; Myxococcota
Description: 6S RNA
Rfam family: 6S / SsrS RNA
About the family: E. coli 6S RNA was the first non coding RNA to be sequenced, but its function was unknown until recently. It consists of 184 nucleotides that fold into an extended hairpin structure with a large single-stranded internal bulge. The 6S RNA specifically associates with RNA polymerase holoenzyme containing the sigma70 specificity factor.
Source: RNAcentral
UGUCCCCUGCUGAGUUCGUGCUUGGUCAGCAGAAAUUCGAACCGAUACGUCCAUAUUGGGGGUCGUUUAGUGGGCCCUGUGCAAGCCCUCCCCGCAAGGGAGAGGGAAGCCUAAAGCCCACGCUUCGGUCCCCACCUGGUUUUUCAGGGUUCAAUGGAUGUUGACCACACGGCUCGGUGGCGGGGGACGU